RNAcentral lists this ribosomal RNA (823 nucleotides) under uncultured bacterium. RNAcentral describes it as "bacterial SSU rRNA". It matches the Rfam family "Bacterial small subunit ribosomal RNA", at positions 59 to 849 of the family's 1533-position model. The record is from RNAcentral.
CAGUCGAGCGAGCGGAACCACAGAUUUACUUCGGUAAUGACGUUGGGAAAGCGAGCGGCGGAUGGGUGAGUAACACGUGGGGAACCUGCCCCUAAGUCUGGGAUACCAUUUGGAAACAGGUGCUAAUACCGGAUAAUAAAGCAGAUCGCAUGAUCAGCUUUUGAAAGGCGGCGUAAGCUGUCGCUAAGGGAUGGCCCCGCGGUGCAUUAGCUAGUUGGUAAGGUAACGGCUUACCAAGGCGACGAUGCAUAGCCGAGUUGAGAGACUGAUCGGCCACAUUGGGACUGAGACACGGCCCAAACUCCUACGGGAGGCAGCAGUAGGGAAUCUUCCACAAUGGACGCAAGUCUGAUGGAGCAACGCCGCGUGAGUGAAGAAGGUUUUCGGAUCGUAAAGCUCUGUUGUUGGUGAAGAAGGAUAGAGGUAGUAACUGGCCUUUAUUUGACGGUAAUCAACCAGAAAGUCACGGCUAACUACGUGCCAGCAGCCGCGGUAAUACGUAGGUGGCAAGCGUUGUCCGGAUUUAUUGGGCGUAAAGCGAGCGCAGGCGGAAAAAUAAGUCUAAUGUGAAAGCCCUCGGCUUAACCGAGGAACUGCAUCGGAAACUGUUUUUCUUGAGUGCAGAAGAGGAGAGUGGAACUCCAUGUGUAGCGGUGGAAUGCGUAGAUAUAUGGAAGAACACCAGUGGCGAAGGCGGCUCUCUGGUCUGCAACUGACGCUGAGGCUCGAAAGCAUGGGUAGCGAACAGGAUUAGAUACCCUGGUAGUCCAUGCCGUACACGAUGAGUGCUAAGUGUUGGGAGGUUUCCGCCUCUCAGUGCUGC